Molecule: ribosomal RNA, 253 nt
Filed under: uncultured bacterium
Lineage: Bacteria
Description: partial 16S ribosomal RNA
Rfam family: Bacterial small subunit ribosomal RNA
Source: RNAcentral
UACGUAGGGGGCGAGCGUUGUCCGGAAUUACUGGGCGUAAAGGGCGCGUAGGCGGCCUGUUAAGUCGAACGUGAAAUCCCCGGGCUCAACCCGGGAACUGCGUCCGAAACUGGCAGGCUUGAAUCCGGGAGAGGGAUGUGGAAUUCCAGGUGUAGCGGUGAAAUGCGUAGAUAUCUGGAGGAACAUCGGUGGCGAAGGCGACAUCCUGGACCGGUAUUGACGCUGAGGCGCGAAAGCCAGGGGAGCAAACGGG